GAUGAACGCUGGCGGCGUGCCUAAUACAUGCCAGUCGAGCGAACGGACGAGAAGCUUUCUUCUCUGAUGUUAGCGGCGGACGGGUGAGUAACACGUGGAUAACCUACCUAUAAGACUGGGAUAACUUCGGGAAACCGGAGCUAAUACCGGAUGAUAUUUUGAACCGCAUGGUUCAAAAGUGAAAGACGGUCUUGCUGUCACUUAUAGAUGGAUCCGCGCUGCAUUAGCUAGUUGGUAAGGUAACGGCUUACCAAGGCAACGAUGCAUAGCCGACCUGAGAGGGUGAUCGGCCACACUGGAACUGAGACACGGUCCAGACUCCUACGGGAGGCAGCAGUAGGGAAUCUUCCGCAAUGGGCGAAAGCCUGACGGAGCAACGCCGCGUGAGUGAUGAAGGUCUUCGGAUCGUAAAACUCUGUUAUUAGGGAAGAACAUAUGUGUAAGUAACUGUGCACAUCUUGACGGUACCUAAUCAGAAAGCCACGGCUAACUACGUG
This 497-nucleotide ribosomal RNA is filed under the name uncultured bacterium. RNAcentral describes it as "partial 16S ribosomal RNA". It matches the Rfam family "Bacterial small subunit ribosomal RNA", at positions 28 to 507 of the family's 1533-position model. The record is from RNAcentral.